GAAGCGUGGCAUAUAAAUAUGAGUCAUCAUGCCCUGAAUAGGGAUGACGGCGCCUAUUUGCCAGAAGAAUAUAUGCAUCUUCUUGGCAGGUGACGUCAUCCCUUGGGUAUUUAAGAAGCCACGAUCGCAGUUUUAGAUCACCCCUGAUGAAGACACUAGACUGGAGUGUCGAAACGUUGGGUCUUGAUUGCAAUUCGACUGGGCUUUGUAAUCAUUUAUUUAAACCAGAGUAGCGAGCGAAACAUGAUUGAUAUACCUGGUUGCAGUGAACGAACAAACUUUAUACCCCCCCGGUCGUUGCUUUCAUGCUUGAGAGUUUUUUUAAAGGCGUUCAAAGACGUCCUUGACACGACGUUAACACGAAAACUGAUAGGGUACAGCCAAAAUUAUGUGCGUGACUAAGCGAGGUACACCCACGCAUAAAUGUAGUUUCCUUGAAAGCCCUCUUGUCACCACAGGCACUCUUUCUUUUCUCCAAUAUAACAUCUUACGCAACUUGUGGCAAGUUUUAGUUUUGUGUAUGUAUAUUUGAGGAUGGUAUUUUUCUUUGCCAGAUUAUAGAGUAUAUAUAUGGUGUUCGUCAGUAAUUAAGUCACAGAAUAGCCAAUUAAUAGGGAUGCAUAUAUACAAAGGCUAACAGGCCAACAGGUUGGUUCAACAUCAUUCAUCCGAUUGUUUUUGAACUGUUAACUGAUGUUGGAUCGCGUUUGACUUUGUUUAAAAUUUUCAUCCAACGUUGUGCACGUUGGACAAUUUUAGACUCGUUUCAACGGCACAAGGAUAGACUUUAUUUCCAAGUCGGCCGUCAAAAUUGAGUAUUGCAAAAUUGAGUAUUGCAAAAUUGAGCGGCUGAGUGCUGAGAACCACAGCCAACACUCAACAGAGUACAAGUUUCUUUGAUAUUGAAGGUAUUCCAGGAUUUGUAAAACAAUUCUGUAAACAGACUUUAGUGUUUACUUUAUUAAAAUGAAUCAAUUAUUUGUAUAAUGAUUCACCUCAAAAGUUCUAGAAGACAUCAUUAAUUACUGAAAAUACAAGCAGCGAUUCUUCAAAACUUGGCAUUCUGUGUUGCGUGGGCCAAUACAAUGACGUGUGACCAACAUUACAAUGUACGCAAAAU
Molecule: non-coding RNA, 1120 nt
Organism: Paramuricea clavata
Lineage: Eukaryota; Metazoa; Cnidaria; Anthozoa; Malacalcyonacea; Plexauridae
Source: the annotation of a GenBank genome assembly